UCAACGGCCCUUUUCAGGGCCACCAACUUGAAAAUCACUUAAAAU
Molecule: non-coding RNA, 45 nt
Organism: Rhodnius prolixus
Lineage: Eukaryota; Metazoa; Arthropoda; Insecta; Hemiptera; Reduviidae
Source: Rfam